GUGGAUUAGAUACCCUGGUAGUCCACGCCGUAAACGAUGAGUGCUAGGUGUUAGACCCUUUCCGGGGUUUAGUGCCGUAGCUAACGCAUUAAGCACUCCGCCUGGGGAGUACGACCGCAAGGUUGAAACUCAAAGGAAUUGACGGGGGCCCGCACAAGCGGUGGAGCAUGUGGUUUAAUUCGAAGCAACGCGAAGAACCUUACCAGGUCUUGACAUCCCUCUGACCGCUCUAGAGAUAGAGCUUUCCUUCGGGACAGAGGUGACAGGUGGUGCACGGUUGUCGACAGCU
This 289-nucleotide ribosomal RNA is filed under the name uncultured bacterium. RNAcentral describes it as "partial 16S ribosomal RNA". It matches the Rfam family "Bacterial small subunit ribosomal RNA", at positions 773 to 1060 of the family's 1533-position model. The record is from RNAcentral.